AGUUCGGAUUGGAGUCUGCAACCCGACUCCAUGAAGCUGGAUUCGCUAGUAAUCGCGCAUCAGCCACGGCGCGGUGAAUACGUUCCCGGGCCUUGUACACACCGCCCGUCACACCAUGAGAGUCGGGAACACCCGAAGUCCGUAGUCUAACCGCAAGGGGGCGCGGCCGAAGGUGGGUCCGGUAAUUGGGGUGAAGUCGUAACAAGGUAAC
Molecule: ribosomal RNA, 211 nt
Filed under: uncultured bacterium
Lineage: Bacteria
Description: partial 16S ribosomal RNA
Rfam family: Bacterial small subunit ribosomal RNA
Source: RNAcentral